Molecule: long non-coding RNA, 3998 nt
Organism: Cydia fagiglandana
Lineage: Eukaryota; Metazoa; Arthropoda; Insecta; Lepidoptera; Tortricidae
Exons: 2
Source: RefSeq, a predicted model, not a curated record
UCCGGCCCUAUAGUAAUAUUAAAAAAAGGAAUUAAGGAGCUCAAUCUAGUGAUUUGAUCCUGACUAGCAGUGGUUUGCUACAGUCGGGUCAAUCAAUUUGAUUUAUUAAUAUUACGAUUUAAAAUAGAAUGGAAUGAGAAAUCUUUUUAUAGGCGUCUGGGCCUCUCUGGUCUGGUCUGAUCAAGUCUGGUGGUCAGAAAAAUUUCUUAAUCAGCCUGCAGUCUACCCUAAUAUUUUAAGGUCUUUCAAGACCCCCGGCGAGUUAUAUUGAUAUAGAUAAAAUCAUUUAUGUAUAUAUUUUUUUAUAAACUGGAAGUUUCAACCUGACUCACUUGUUAAUCUUCCAAAAACUCAACUGCUUAUUAGCCAAUAACUACUUAUUUAUUUUGCCCUUAAUAGGGACUUAGGUACCGGUAUAAAGCCUGAUAUAUGUGGCGUUUUCAACCAAAGCUAAAAAAAAUAAAGAUUCAAAAUUAAAUCAGCCUAAUCGACAACCUACAUUGUGGUACCUUUUAGUUGAAAACGUCACAUAUGAUCACGCGCCAUGUUGCGGAAUUUCACUGACACUAUUUUUUUCAUACUAUGAAUUAUCACCCUAUACAUGAGAAUAACAGAGCCCUCUUGACAAUGAUCAUAUACCUAUUACUGACGGUCUAGCAUGAGUUGCUAUCUCGCGCGCGACAUCUAGCAGACUUCAAGUCCGAACUCGCGCGCGAGAACGCUAGACCGCCUGGUCAGGCUUUAACUUAAUUUUUGGUGAAUUAUGUAAAUAUUUCAGAUCUUUAAAACGGUUUUUCAGUAAUGAAAACUAUUUAACUCAAUGUACAACAUAUACAACAAUAUGCAUUUUUUUUAAAUUACAUAUAAUGUAAAAAUCUACCGGUACUGUCUCAAAUUUUAUGUACAUUAUAUUAUUUGGUGUAUUCCCAUUUGUCCCCGACCGGCAUAGAUGGGAAUGAAUGCAUUCAUAUAUGUAAAUCAUUCCCGUUCGCCUCAUGUAUGCCGACGGUCACGUGGGGCGGGGACAAAUAGGAAUACACUUAGUCUGAAAAAAAAGAGUAGAAAUUAAAAAGUGGCAACACUGUAGUGUCGUCCCUUUCAAAUUGAUUUAUACAGGGUGUCCCAGAAUUCGACGUCAAGCCGUAAACGGAUGAUAGACCAAGUCAUAACAGUUAUCAUAAAAAUACAAAAAAAAAAUUCAACUCAUGAUUUUUAAAAAUUAUGGUCACUUUAAAAAUUCACUCAAAAAUCCACACCCUGUAAUGGUUCUUUAACUCUUGUUACUACAAAUUCCAUAAUUUAUUCUAAUUUUUUUUAUUAUUGUGUAAUCUUGAAUAAUUACAGGCUGUGGAUUUUUUAGUGAAUUUUUAAAGUGACCAUAAUUUUUAAAGAACAUGAGUUGGAUUUUUUUUUUAUUUUUAUGAUAACUGUUAUGACUUGGUCUAUCAUCCGUUUACGGCUUGACGUCGAAUUCUGGGACACCCUGUAUAAGAAAACGGGACGACACUACAGUGUUGCCACUUUUUAAUUUCUAGUCUUUUUUGUCGGACUGUACUAAUUGUGACUUUAAAUUUAAGAUUUCUACUUUACUUUUCCGCCGGUUGUGACUUGUGAGUAUUUUUUAUUGAUAUAUUUUGCGAUUAUUGCGGUUAUUGGGUUAUCAUUAUUAUUCAAGUGAUGUUUAAUAUUAGCAUAGUCUAAUAAAACAUGGUCUUCUCUUCCCAGAGUGACACAAGCGUACGUCACAAUAACAUGGCCGCUAUAUAUAGCGCUAUCGCAUAUUAUCAUAUAGCGCUGUCGCAUGAUGACGUAGGCUUGUGUCAGUCAGGUGACCUAGAAAAGACGGGAAGAGAGUACCAGGCGGAAUAUAUUAUUAUACCAUGAAUAUUAGCAAAGAUACAUUGACUGUGUAAGAUUGGUAUUCCAAGUAAUUCCAACUAUCCAAUUUCUUGGUAUAAUGUGUAUUUGCGUCUCACGUUUUGCUUAAUGAGAGAGUGUGACGCAAUGACAUUGGACUAAGACAUAGGAGAGGUGGAAUACCAUCCUAUUGUGAUGGCGGUGUACGGUUCCGUAAUGUUGCGGUAAUUUUGGCUGUCAAAUGUUGACGUUUGACAGCUUAACCCCGCGUAUGCUUAUGGCUCCUCUACACGAUGGCCCAGCGCCAGCCACUCCAAGGGACGCAGCCAUGCGGUAAAAUGAGAUAGCAAUAUCACUUGCUCCCUCUAACGCAUAAAUGCGUCCCUUGAAGUGGUGAGUGGGCCAUCGUGUAGAGGAGCCACUAGACACACCACCAUCUGUUUCGGGUGUCAAACUAUAUAGUUCGUUUUUUUUUGCAUUAGAAAUAAGGUAAACAAUCUUGAUGUGUCUUUUAAUUGAAAAACACAUUUUAAAAAUAAGUUACGGCAAAUAUGUAUGUAACAAUUAUUAAUCUAAUACGAUCAUUUAUAUUCUUCUGCUUUCAGAAGUAAUAGUUACUGAUUUUUAAAAGGCGUUUUUCUAUUAAAAGACAUGUCAAGAUCGCUUACCUUCUUUAAAGUUCUUUCUAAUGCUAAAAAAACGAACUAUAAUCUGUAUCUUUACCAAAUACAAAACCACCUGGAUCUGUCACUGAACGACCUGACUUUAACCUACAUUAUUUGAUCAUGAAAUGUUUUCAUCUACCCUCAAAUGGUUCCUUAAGCCAGUAGAUGUUGUUUACUUUUAUUUAAAUACCAAAAGUUCUGAGAAUUUACCUCUCUAUUUAAAAAAAAAGCUCUUUGAUUUAGGCCUCGUGCCAGACGAGCGCUUUUUCAACACGCGUUAAAAAAGUGCUUGAAUCCGUCCGCACGCUAAAUUCGAUUUAACGACCAACGCUUAAAGUCGAAAAUCCAACAACGCUUGAUAAAAAGCGCCACCGCCAUCGUGUGUGAAAAAUACACAAACACAUGUAUCCAUUUGUUUCAUUCAAACGCGUUGUAAAAGCGCUCGUGCGGAUGAGGCCUAUUAUCGUUCUUGUUAGAUUAUGGAAAGUGCGCUAUGUAUAACUACCACAAAUAUGCAUGUUUGGUUAAUUUAAAUGUCAAUAAGGCCCAGCCAUACAAUUGAAAAAUGCAAAAUUUGCCACAGAUAUUUGAAUCUACAAUGUAGGAAAUAGAGUUGAUUUUGCGUUAUUCAAAAACUGAACAAAACAAAGCAAAAGCAACUCUGUUCCAAUGGAAUAUGAUUUAAAUUUCAUUCAACUGAAUAAGUACUAUAGGUAGGACAUUGGGCCUUAGGAAGGUAAAACAAGGAUUUAUCUUGACCCACGCGCUGUAAUCAUGGCAAAGAGUGACAAGGAUAAGUUAAAAUACUUUAAAUACAUUUGGCACAAUACCACAGAAUAAGUAAUAGUAUAGUUCGUAGAAAAAAAAAUCCUACAAAAGCGAUUCAGGGACGAAUCUUGCUGUCCAUUUCUAAUGUAUGGCUAUGGCAUUAUCCCUUUCGGCUAUUUAGGGUUUUCAAAAUUCAAGUCAUCAUCUAAGUGAUCUGUGGUCGUACACGCAAAGGAACGUGAAGUUAUGCCAACCCUAAUAUGUAUAUGCUCGGAGCUUUGCUGAGCCGAACAGAGGGGCUACCGCGAAAACCGAAAUUCGCAAAUUGCGGGGAUAUUUCUCUAUUACUCCAAUGAAGGCGUAAUAAGAGUGACGGAGAAAAAUGCCGGCAAUUUGCGAACUUCGAUUCUCGCGGUUAUAGCUCAGACCCGAGAAUGCCCGAAAGGAACAGUUAUUUUAUUAUAUAUAUAUAUAUUUUGCAGCACAAGGUUCACUUAACAAUAACACCAAUUUACUUCCAGCGACCUCAUGUUAUAAAACACAUGAAACUAGUAUUUAUCGAUAAUAUCCAGUGCAAAUAUUUAUAUUGGUGGAGCGUUCUUAAUCUUAUGAAAGUUUUGUGACUCCAUAUUUGUAGUUUAUAUAUUGUAACAAUAUACGCCGCUUUCAACAGGCACAUGUAACUGUAUUAAAGUGUUAAGUAUUUGU